RNAcentral lists this transfer RNA (69 nucleotides) under Paenibacillus vandeheii. RNAcentral describes it as "tRNA-Phe". It matches the Rfam family "tRNA". From Rfam's summary of the family: Transfer RNA (tRNA) molecules are approximately 80 nucleotides in length. Their secondary structure includes four short double-helical elements and three loops (D, anti-codon, and T loops). Lineage: Bacteria; Bacillati; Bacillota; Bacilli; Caryophanales; Paenibacillaceae. The record is from RNAcentral.
CUCCCUUAGUUCAGUGGUAGAUUCCCAACUAAAAGUUGGGAUUUGGCGGUUCGAUUCCGUCAGGGAGCA